This 309-nucleotide ribosomal RNA is filed under the name Triticum aestivum (bread wheat). Its description in RNAcentral is "partial small subunit ribosomal RNA". The record is from RNAcentral. Lineage: Eukaryota; Viridiplantae; Streptophyta; Magnoliopsida; Poales; Poaceae.
AUGCCUAUUUGGUCUCUUUGCCAUCUGCCAACAGAUGAUAAAGAGCCUGCAGCCUUUGCCGUCUGCCAGCAGAUGGCAAAGAGCCAUGCCCUUUGUCGUCUGCCAGCAGAUGGCAAAGAGCCAUGCCCUUUGCCAUCUGCCACUGACGGCAAAGGCCUCUUUGCCGUCCGCUACAAAAAACAGACGGCAAAGAAGGCCUUUGCCGACCCUGUCUUUGCCGGAGCUAUUUGCCGUCCGCGGCAGAUGGCAAAGGUCUUUGUCGUCCGCCAUCCCAGCCUUCGCCGUCCGCUAUGGCUGAUGGCAAAGUAG